GUCAGGAUGGCCGAGCGGUCUAAGGCGGCUACGUUUCAGGUCGUAGUCUACUCUGUAGGCGUGGGUUCGAAUCCCACUUCUGACA
Molecule: transfer RNA, 85 nt
Filed under: Strongylocentrotus purpuratus (purple sea urchin)
Lineage: Eukaryota; Metazoa; Echinodermata; Echinoidea; Camarodonta; Strongylocentrotidae
Description: tRNA-Sup (TCA) (tRNA-Sup-TCA-2-1)
Rfam family: tRNA
About the family: Transfer RNA (tRNA) molecules are approximately 80 nucleotides in length.
Source: RNAcentral